CCAUGGCCCCGCUGCCGGCACAAAGGGGCGGGGGCAGGAAGCGGCGGCUCCUCCCCGGGCUUGGCCCUGCCCCCGGGGCCUCUCGCAGGGGGGUUGGGACACGCGGGGAAGCCAGUGUAGCAGCUCCCCCAGCCCCUGCUCAGCGGAGGGUGUCAGCUGGAUUCCAGCUGCUGCAGCCAGUUCCGGGAAAGAGCCUGAGGGAAUCCUGAUGUGAAAUGAACUAAAUCCUGUUCUGAAACCUCCACAACUGCUCUUCUCACCCUGCCAGGCUGCAGAAUGAUGCACACGUCUCGCUCCAGCUCAUCCCAGCCUUUCCUGGGACAGGAAAGAGAAAUAGCUGCAGUUGGGCCAGAUCAGGGGCCGGUGACCUUCGCAGAGGUGGCUGUGUAUUUCACCAGGGAAGAGGGGGCUCUGUUGGACCCCACUCAGAGAGCCCUCUACAGAGGCGUCAUGCAGGAGAACUAUGAGACUGUGACCUCACUGGGGUUUCCAGUUUCCAAACCCUAUGUGAUCUCCCAGCUGGAAGGAGGGGAAGAGCCGUGGGUCCUGGAUCUCCCUGGCUCAGAGGAAAGUGAGAUCCUGAGAAGUCCCUGCACAGCAGGUGAUGGGGUGGUGAGGGAGAAUGAGGAGCAGAAUCCUCACCAGGAAGAUGCUGAGCUAGCCCGAGCAGAUGGGGAAUUACUGCGAAGAGCCAAAGGGAAUGUGUCCAGCCCCCGUGAGCAGGGAAAAACUGGUGAAAGAUACCACAGACCAGAGAGAGAGCAGGGAAACCACUCAGAGGAUAGAGUGGAUGAACCCAUUAAUUGUCAGGGAACUCACAAGGAUUUCAAGGAAACUACAUCCCAGGAGAAAAUCCUCACGGAAAAGAGAGAGAAUACAUGCAGUGAGUGUGGGAAAAACUUCAAUUACCGCUCAGCCCUUAUUCGCCAUGAGAUAAUCCACACGAAAGAGAGACCCUACGAAUGCUAUGAGUGUGGGAAAAGCUUCAAUCAUACCUCAGCCCUUAUUAGACAUCAGCGAAUACACAGAGGAGACAGACCUUAUAAAUGCUGUGAGUGCGGGAAAAGCUUCACUCAGAGCUCAGACCUUUCUGCCCAUCAGAGAAUCCAUACGGGGGAGAGACCCUAUGAAUGCAGGGAGUGCGGGAAAAGCUUCAAUCAUCGUUCAGCCCUUAUCUCUCAUCAGAGAAUACACACCGGAGAGCGACCUUACGAAUGCUAUGAGUGCAGGAUAAGCUUCACUCAGAGAUCAGCCCUUCUCUCUCAUCACAGAAUCCACACAGGAGAGCGACCCUACACAUGCUCUGAGUGUGGGAAAAGCUUCACCCGAAGCUCAAAUCUUACUACGCAUCAGAGGAUCCACACAGGAGAGAGACCCUAUGAAUGCAGUGAGUGCGGGAAAAGUUUCACUGACAUCUCCUCCCUUAUCUCGCAUCAGAGAAUCCACACGGGAGAGAAACCCUAUGAAUGUUGUGAGUGUGGGAAAAGCUUCUCUCAGAGCUCAACCCUUAUUACACAUCACAGAAUCCACACAGGACACAGACCCUAUGAAUGCUGCGAGUGUGGGAAAAGCUUCUCUCAGAGCUCAGGCCUUCUCUAUCAUCAGAGAAUCCGUAAAGGAGAUAAACUCCAUAAAAACCUUCUCUAGAGCUGUCAGAAGAUUUUUUUUCUAAAUUAUUUUGAGAGUUUGCAUCUUUUGCACACUGUAGUCCCUCAGCUCCCACACGAGUUGCCCACUUUUGAAGCUCGCCCGUUUUUGGAUCCUGUGGUCCUUUCUGUCAACUCCAUUGUCCUGCAAGUCAUGGGAGUGUGUGUCCUUUCUACCAGGAAUGUCCAUCACCCCAAGUGAGGGAGAUGGGGGUGUCUUUAGCCAGCUACAUAGAGGUUUGUUUUUUCCCCUGUCCCUGCAUGAUGACAUGGAGAAAAUUCAGAUACAGUUCAAUCAACAGGAGAGAAUACUCCAAGCUGCUGGACAUAUUAUCAGAGAAACAGUCAUGUUUUUAAAUCUCCACUCUGAAAAGGUGAACAGCAGCAGACCCCAAAUGGUGCAACUGACAGAAGUAAGUGCACAUAGUCACAGGGUAGUUCAAUUAUUUAAGUCAGUAUUGUCUCAGAUGAUCCAGGGAUAGAAUUCCACAGCAAGUGACUUGGAACUAGGCAAAAUGCCCAGGUAUUUGGUUCCCAAAGCAUUUGUGACCCAGUCCCUACAGGAGGUUAAUCCUGAAGAGAUCUCCUAGCUAAUCCCAAAAGUUGGGAAACGCUGUCUGUGAUGAGGUAUAUCAACCCUGAACUGGCACUGCUAGGGUUAACUGCACCGUGUGGGCUGAAGAGGCCUCACCCUCUCUGGGCAUGCUCCGACUGGAGACAGAGUAUAAAAGGGAGCAGCUCAGCACAGCCUGCGUGGACUGAGGAGGAGAGAAAACCAUGUUGCUGGCUCCUGCCAGGAAGCCACAGGACUCCCAGGCUGCAGUGUCCAGCCAUGCUGAGACCCUAGCAGAAACCCAAUCAACUGCCAAAGAUCUCCAAGAAGAGACUCUGGAUGCCAGGAGAUUACUGACGCUGGAAGUAAGGGUGGGAAGUGACCCAGGGAACGGGACUGUUGCAGUGAACAAUCAAGGCUGGACACAGGAGUAUUAGUUCCUCAAGGCCCUGGGUCAGGACCUCGUGGAGUAGGGUGGUCCCAGGUCCCUCCACUACACCGACCCACGGGCUGGAGUCACCACCUGAAGACAAGCUGUCUCGACCCAGGGGACAGAUUUCUUCCCCUCCAAACCCUGUCUUCUUCCUUAUGCGGCCACACACCCCGCAACAGCUGGUCCAAGUCCUGGCCCCCCACCUCUGCCUAAGGCUCUGGGAGGGAGUUUGGGUGCAUGAGGUGCAGGCUCUAGGCUGGAGCAGGGGCUUGGGGUGCAAGGGAGGCAGGGGCAGAUCCUGGGAGGGAGUUUGGGUGUGGACUGUGAGCUGGGCAGGGGGUUGGGGUGCAGGGGGGGCGGUGGUGGGCUGUGGGAGUGAGUUUGGGUGCAGGAGGGGGGACUAGUUCUGGGAGGGAGUUUGGAUGCAUGAGGUGCAGGCCCUGGGCUGAGGGAGAGGGUUAGGGUGAAGGGAGAUGGGGGCGGACCCUAGGAGGGAGUUUGGGUGUGAGCUCUGGGUUGGGGUACAGGGGGAGCAGUGGUGGGCUCUGGGAGGGAGUUUGGGUGGGGUGAGGCGUGGGAUCUGGGCUGCAGCAGGGAAUGGGGGGGCAGUGGUGGGCUCUGGGAGGGAGUUUGAGUGCAUGAGGUGCAGGCUCUGGGCUGGAGCAGGGGGUUGGAAUUUGGCACCUAUCUCGGGCAGCUCCUGAAAGUGACCCACACCCCCCUCUGGCACAAAUCCUACAUGGAGGAGGCUGGGGGUGGUGGGUCUCCUGGCACCACUGCACGCAGGUACCACCCCUGCAGCUCCCAUUCCCGCAGUUCCAAUGGCAGAGUUGGCGCUUAGGGCAGGGGCAGCGUGCAAGAGACAGAGGCCACAGGGACAUGCCAGAUGCUUCUGGGAGUGAUGCGCCUUGCGGAGCAAGAGUGGGCGGGAAUCUGCUUUAGCCUGACUGUGCAGCCGGUAGUGGUGGCAGAAGCCCCUGGGCCCUUUCAAAUCGCCCAGGGCCAGCUGCUCAGGUUUUUUGAUGGGGAAGUAAAGAGAAGCCACAAGAGUGGUCAUGAGCACUUCUGGGGAGUCUUUUUGGGGGUCCUGGAGUAGGCAGCAGAGAGAGACAGCCUCACCCCUGAGUCUGUUUCCCUGGAGGAGAGAGGGAGAUGCAGGCUGAUAUCCCAUCUCUGUGCAUCCAAGAGCCUGUGCUCCCCACUGCCAUGGUGGAGUCUCCACAUUUAUUUAUUGACAAAUAAAUUUUACAGAAUUUUGAAAUAUUGUGCACAGAAUUUUUCUGGUGCAGAAUCUCCUCAGGAGUGAGAUUGACUUAGGGAACCUCCUUUGAUUGUCACUGCUUUGUGAACCACUCUGCCACCACACCAAUGCAAAGAGAGACCGCUAAGCCCUACUGCUAUGCAGGGGUUGGGGCUGGGGUCAGGUCAUACACAUUCAGACUGUACGCUCCCCUAGCUACAAACUGCUGCUGAUUUUCCAUUUAGAACAUUAGCCCUUACUGACAAAGUUUGUCUGUGUUCUUUUUUUAUCUCAUGCUGCUAGUUAGAAGGAUCAGUAUUGAUUUUUUUUCCCAAAAAAUACACAACCCCCUAAACCUGCUUUUAGCAAUCGGAAUAAUUUAGUGUCACC
This is an RNA transcript of Gopherus flavomarginatus (Mexican gopher tortoise), 4262 nucleotides long. It is a transcript of the gene named zinc finger protein 436-like, with no coding region annotated. The record is from RefSeq and is a predicted model, not a curated record. Lineage: Eukaryota; Metazoa; Chordata; Testudines; Testudinidae. The transcript has 6 exons.